GUGGGGAAUAUUGCACAAUGGGGGAAACCCUGAUGCAGCGACGCCGCGUGAGUGAAGAAGUAUUUCGGUACGUAAAGCUCUAUCAGCAAGGAAGAAAAUGACGGUACUUGACUAAGAAGCCCCGGCUAACUACGUGCCAGCAGCCGCGGUAAUACGUAGGGGGCAAGCGUUAUCCGGAUUUACUGGGUGUAAAGGGAGCGUAGACGGUAUGGUAAGUCAGAUGUGAAAGCCCGGGGCUCAACCCCGGGACUGCAUUUGAAACUAUCAGACUAGAGUGCAGGGGAGGUAAGUGGAAUUCCUAGUGUAGCGGUGAAAUGCGUAGAUAUUAGGAGGAACACCAGUGGCGAAGGCGGCUUACUGGACUGUAACUGACGUUGAGGCUCGAAAGCGUGGGGAGCAAACAGGAUUAGAAACCCCAGUAGUCC
This 425-nucleotide ribosomal RNA is filed under the name uncultured bacterium. RNAcentral's name for it is "partial 16S ribosomal RNA". It matches the Rfam family "Bacterial small subunit ribosomal RNA", at positions 354 to 796 of the family's 1533-position model. The record is from RNAcentral.